UACCUAACAGGUUCAUUUGGGGUUUCUUCCCCCUUUAAUUUAAAUGUUUUUAAAUUAUACAGUUGCACAUCAGGGGCUAAAGAUGGUUUUUUUUGUUUUUGUUUUGUUUUGUUUUUAUUUGAGACAGAUUCUCGCUUUGUCGCCCAGGCUGGAGUGCAGUGGCGCUAUCUCGGCACACUGCAGCCUCUGCCUCCCAGGUUCAAGCGAUUCUCCUGCCUCAGCCUUCGUAGCAGCUGGGACUGCUAAAGAUGUUUUGUCCCUCUGAUUUGCUUUCAUUCUUCAGGCUGAGGGCAAAAAGUCAAGCAUCAUAGGAUUCUAUUCCUACAAUUCCACUGCUCUUUUAUUUCCCUUAUUUGAGCAAAAGCUUUCUUAGCCUGGGGCCUAUUUUUCAUGCAGCUAAAACUUUUCUCCUUUUAGACAAAAGGAUUUUGUCAUUCCUGUUUCAGUAAAAACUUAUAUUAGAAUUUGUCAAAACUGCUUUCGUUUUGAUUAUCAGUCACGAUUAUCUCUACAAUAUAUAGUGCUUUCCUUGCCAGCAACAAGGAAAAAUAAACUAAUGAAGCCAGAGGGCUUAACUAUUUAAAUUUUAUCGUCUGGCUUUAAAGCAAGGCUCUACCGUCAUUCCCAGGGAUCAGUUAACCAGAGAGAGCCUUUAGAUCUUCAGCAAUGAACUCUUUAAUAUUCAGAUCUCGGACAAUAUUGCAGAAAGUCAAUGAAAGGCCAGAUGCAGUGACUCAUGCUUGUAAUCCCAGCACUUUGGAAGGCCGAGGUUGGAGCUGAGGUCAUUCAACACAGUGAAAGACAAGUGGGGAAAGGACAAUCUUUUCAAUAAAUGAUGCUGGAACAUUUGGAUAUCCA
Long non-coding RNA from Symphalangus syndactylus (siamang), 858 nucleotides. RefSeq lists it as uncharacterized. NCBI's taxonomy places the organism in Eukaryota, Metazoa, Chordata, Mammalia, Primates, Hylobatidae. The record is from RefSeq and is a predicted model, not a curated record.